UACGUAGGGUGCGAGCGUUAAUCGGAAUUACUGUGCGUAAAGCGUGCGCAGGCGGUUUUGUAAGCCAGAUGUGAAAUCCCCGGGCUUAACCUGGGAAUGGCAUUUGGGACUGCAAGGCUUGAGUGCGGCAGAGGAGACUGGAAUUCCUGGUGUAGCAGUGAAAUGCGUAGAUAUCAGGAGGAACACCGAUGGCGAAGGCAGGUCUCUGGGCUGACACUGACGCUCAUGCACGAAAGCGUGGGGAGCAAACAGG
Molecule: ribosomal RNA, 253 nt
Filed under: uncultured bacterium
Lineage: Bacteria
Description: partial 16S ribosomal RNA
Rfam family: Bacterial small subunit ribosomal RNA
Source: RNAcentral